CACCUCUAGCAUUACAAGUAUUAGAGGCAUUGCCUGCCCAGUGACUUUCAAGUUUAACGGCCGCGGUAUUCUGACCGUGCAAAGGUAGCAUAAUCAUUUGUUCCCCAAUUAGGGACUAGUAUGAAUGGCUAGACGAGGAUUCAACUGUCUCUUAUUCCCAAUCAGUGAAAUUGACCUUCCAGUGAAGAGGCUGGAAUAAAACAAUAAGACGAGAAGACCCUAUGGAGCUUUAAUUAACUAGCCUAAUUAUAAUAUUUAUACCCUAAUGGAACAAAACCAUAAACAUUAAGCUAACAAUUUCGGUUGGGGUGACCUCGGAGAACAAAAAAUCCUCCGAAUGAUUAUAGCACAGACAAACAAGUCAAAGCAAUCCGCUAUAUCUAAUUGACCCAAAAAUACUUUGACCAACGGACCAAGUUACCCUAGGGAUAACAGCGCAAUCCUAUUUAAGAGUCCAUAUCGACAAUUAGGGUUUACGACCUCGAUGUUGGAUCAGGACACCCCAAUGGUGCAGAAGCUAUUAAAGGUUCGUUUGUUCAACGAUUAAAGUCCU
RNAcentral lists this ribosomal RNA (553 nucleotides) under Grammomys sp. RNAcentral describes it as "partial small subunit ribosomal RNA". It matches the Rfam family "Bacterial large subunit ribosomal RNA", at positions 1816 to 2597 of the family's 2925-position model. The record is from RNAcentral. Lineage: Eukaryota; Metazoa; Chordata; Mammalia; Rodentia; Muridae.